This 1336-nucleotide long non-coding RNA is filed under the name Chrysemys picta bellii (western painted turtle). Its description in RNAcentral is "lncRNA (ENSCPBG00000014741.1)". Lineage: Eukaryota; Metazoa; Chordata; Testudines; Emydidae. The record is from RNAcentral.
GAAGGGACAGCAGACGGAACUUGCCUCCCGUGCACUGCCAGAAGCCUGGCUGUGUGCCAUGGGAGGCACCAGCCGGCCAGCGCGGCUGCGUGGAAGCACUCAGCCCCUCUGAAGGGGAUCUCCGUGUGAAGUGGAUUUCUGAAGUGGCUCCAGACCGUGGUGAAAGGAUGGCUGGGCCCCAUCUGCCCCCCUUCACUGCCGCCCUGGGACUGGCAUUGCUUGGUGUCCUGGUCUUCCUCUCAGCCCUGUGUGCUGCCUGCAGAAGGAAAGCUAGGAAGAAGGUGGUCCCACCGGAUGGGGUGAAGCUGGUAGAUGUGUCGUUGCUGAGGCAGAUGCAGCUCCGAUCGCUCAGUAAAUCUGACACCAAACUGCAUGAGCUCAACAGGGUGAAGCGCACGGACGAGCACCAAAGACCAGCCAGCGUGGAUUUCCUUUACCCAUCAGGGUCUUUGGGGGAUGGAGAAGGAGCCGUGCAUAGCUCGAGCUUCAGCAUCCUGCUGCACCGAGAGCUGCCCCAGAUCCCCAAUUCCAACCCUUCGGCUGACGCCCUGAGUCCUGACCAGACCUACUCAAACGUGUCCUUCUUAGCCCCGCUGAAACCAGCCCCGGAGGCGCUGUACGAGUGUGCGGCCGUGACUCAGGAAGGGCCUCAACCGAUGCCCAUCUUGGGAACCCCAAUGGAGGCUUCCCCUCUAAGCGAGGAGGACAAGGCAGUGACGGCUGAGUAUGCCUGUGUCCGCAAGGUGAAGAAGAAUUUCCAGCCAGAGCUCCAGGAUGAGACACAGGGCGAAUCCUCCGUGGGGCCUGCAGACCCAGAAGGCUGGGAAGGAGCUGCCUGUAACCCCGCAGCGGUGAAGGUAGAAGAAAUGUACUCGACUGUGUGCAAAGCUGGAAAGAAGAAGAAACACCAAGGCUCUGCUCUGUCCCCCUCUGAAGGAAUGGACACUGGGGAGACGGGCCAAGGAGAACAGGGGUGGCCAGCCGCCCAUCUCAGACAUGUCAGGGUGGGGUAUCAGUCCACACCGGGCCGAGUCUUACUCACUGAGCCCUGCUAUGAGUCUAUCAAGGAUGGAUCCUGGACUGAGCAUGGCAGGAACCCAGCCCCAGAACCGGCCUACGAGGCAGUAGAUGUCAAAUGGAAAAAGCCCAAGAGAAGGGACAAGUCUACCAAGAACUGCCCCACCGAGAACUUGUAUGAAAGUAUCAGCGAAAUGUGGGAAGGGGACCCUAGGAACACAGCUACCCUGGCAGCUCCCAAUGGGUUGGAGAUAUACGUAACAGACUUAUAACGCCUUAUGUAUAGCUGCCCCCUUCCUGGGAAGGUCUGUGCUCCUCC